GGAAACUGGCGGGCAGCCAGGCGGGGCUGGAGGUGGAAAGAGGAAAGGCGCCAGAAGGGAACUCGUGCGCCGCUGCGCCGCUCCCCCCGCCCCGCUUCCUGGCUCCCCGCGCCGCGGCCCCGACGGCCGUCCUGCCCCCCUCGACGGCCGCCCCCCGCCCGGCUCCCGGGGCCGCGAGGAAUCGCCUUCCUUCUCCCGCCGCCGCCCGGCACCGGGUUUUUCUCGUUUCCACGCCAAGAGCGCGCGAACAAAACUUGGUGCUGCCGCUGGCGUCGACGGCUGCCAAAAGUCUGUUGACGUUGCGAGGGAGACCCGAACGCUCCCCGCUCUGAUCCGCCGCCCGAGCAGCGCGGUGUGCCCCCGCCUGCCCCUGCGGUGCGGGGCCGGGCGCUCCCGGCUGGGCUCGGCACGGCGUUGCGUGCAGGUCAGUGCUUGCAGGCGCCGCUCACAGCUGGUUUCACACGGCGGCAGGGCUGCGGAACCGCGUGUGCGCGUUUCGCUCUCGCCCCCCCGCGCGCCUCCCCCCGUCGCGCAUCACCGCCUAUAUUUAGCCGCGGAGGGCCCUAUCGGGCAGGCACCUCCCGGAGGAAAUGCCGGUCGCGCUCCGGGGGCUGCGGCGCACCGCCCUGCCUGCCGUCGGGGUUUCGUAACGGGGCCGCCCCCGCGGAAGGCGGGUAUAAAUAGAGGAGCGCUGCCCUCCUUGUAGCGCUGCGGGCACCCCCGGGAUGGGAGGAGAGGAGACGAAGGGGUGCGACCAGAGGUGCAGCUGCAGUGAUGCGAGGACUGGCACCGGCGGACCUCUACCCCGUCGCGGUUCACAUAGAGUUCACGGGGUGCCGAGCGCACGUGUGUGCCUGGGGUGGCUUUAGGGGAUCGGGCUGCAGCUGGUGACCCCGCGCCCCAAAGGGCUCUGGUGCAGGAGGCUCCUGUCUUCCGGUGCAGUUCUGUGCUUCAUUAGUUGCCCCAGCGCAGGCGCUGCGCCUUAUCUCAGCCAUCCGCGUCCGGGGAGAAGCCCGGAGCUGGCCCCAAAAGGAGUGGGGUGCGAGGCUCCCAGCGGUGCGGCCACCAGCCGUACGGAAAGCCUUAAAUCACUCCAGCCAUGCUGCUGCUGCCUCUAUUGAAAACAUUACGAGCGGCGCAUCUGGAAACCAGUAAAUCUGUCCAGAAACCGUCUUUGCAGUGAAAUAACUCCUUCUGAAUGAUAGCGCGGUCUGUAAUCUCCGCAGAUUUUUGUUUCCUCGCAGCGAUUUUUGUGGGCUUCGUUAUUAGAGAGCGAACGGUGCCGGAGAGAGGAGGGUCACGGCGCCGUGCCAUUAAUAUACAUUUGUUCCAGACGCGGAGUUCUGCACAAAAGGCCGCUCCGAGGGGAGAGGAAAGUGUUGGGGAGCGAACGCCGCUCGGGCCCUUCCAUCCCUCCCCACGUGUGCGAAGUAUUGUGCUGAGGCGCAAUCUGGGAUUCUUCCCCAUUAAAUGCCAAAGCCGUCAUUUGCAUAUCCCGGAGCCUAACAAAGGAAAUGAGUUUGCCGGGGAAGCUGCGUGCGGUGGGAGACGCUCCGCGCUGAGCUCCCCGCGGUCAGCCCUGUGCGCGCCGAGCCGCCCGCUCGCGGGCUUCUAUUUUUGCGAGAGAGGAAGAGCCGAGGGAUAUCCUGUGCAUUAAGGCUCCCCCUACUUCUUAACCCGGCGUUCGGCAGCGGGAUGCGGGCUGAAGCGCGGUCGAAAGCGACAACUCGAGCUCCGAAGAGCAAUUAAAAUCUUGCGCCGGAAUAAAUCAUGCGCCGCGCUAAUCCUGUUAAUAAAACGCAGCUUGUCCUGACACUUCGCUCAUGCAGCAAAGCAGGAUUUAAUGCGAGCGGAGGUGGCGGCGGGAGGGAGAGGCAUUCCCUUCACUGCCGGCUGUGGGGACGUGACUGCCUCUCGCCCUCUCAUCUGCUGUGGCCAGCCCCGGCCUGCUUUGGGAGCCCGUUGCUCCGGCCCCGCCGAGGUGGGUGUUUGGGUGCCGGUGUGAGCCGCAGCGUGCUCCGAUUGAACGCGCCGGGGAAAGUUUUCUUUGUCGAUAGCCCGGAAUGGUACUUAAUUUUCUGGACGCGCGCUGGGGAAAAGAUCCAUCUCCUCUGACCUAUAAAUGCCCUCAAUUUGCUCCUUUAUUGCAGGGUAUCUCCCUUAGCGGUUGGCGGAGGCAGCGCGCUCCCCGCACCAACGCGGUAUUCAUUAUUAAUGACCCGGAGGGAGGCCGCCCGCUCCGCUCUGAUGUUUGCAUUUCCUCCCAGACAAAUCUGCUCAACUUUCUU
Molecule: long non-coding RNA, 2288 nt
Filed under: Gallus gallus (chicken)
Lineage: Eukaryota; Metazoa; Chordata; Aves; Galliformes; Phasianidae
Source: RNAcentral